This 250-nucleotide long non-coding RNA is filed under the name Phoenix dactylifera (date palm). RNAcentral's name for it is "long non-coding RNA (PDAC_LNC014414)". Lineage: Eukaryota; Viridiplantae; Streptophyta; Magnoliopsida; Arecales; Arecaceae. The record is from RNAcentral.
CGAGUACCCGAGUCAUUAGUUAGUUGGUUUGUUUAUCUUUCUUUGAUGUUGAUGAACAUUUGAAGAUCUUGUAAUUGAACUAAUUUGUUUAUUUGGACAUGUUGGACUUGUCUAUUUAAAUUACAAAAUUAAUUGUGGAUUUAUUGGAAUUUUUGAUAAUCAUAGGCCUUGCAUGAUCUCUAGGGCACUGCUCUAGGGCUCAUGCGGCCGGUCGCGUUCCGGACCCGGGUGCUGGGUUCGGGGCGUGACA